RNAcentral lists this transfer RNA (53 nucleotides) under Ptenopus carpi. Its description in RNAcentral is "partial tRNA-Cys". The record is from RNAcentral. Lineage: Eukaryota; Metazoa; Chordata; Lepidosauria; Squamata; Gekkonidae.
CCAAAUUGCAAAUUUGGCAAAGCACAUAGAAGUGCCCCGGACUUCUCCCGUCC